UCUUCUCUCUUGUCUUCUC
Molecule: small RNA, 19 nt
Filed under: Arabidopsis thaliana (thale cress)
Lineage: Eukaryota; Viridiplantae; Streptophyta; Magnoliopsida; Brassicales; Brassicaceae
Description: ATSL059790
Source: RNAcentral